AAUUUCCGACUUGAACUCAAGCGUGAAUACCCGCUGAACUUAAGCAUAUCAGUAAGCGGAGGAAAAGAAACUAACAAGGAUUCCCUUA
RNAcentral lists this ribosomal RNA (88 nucleotides) under Nacobbus sp. CZA 0048. RNAcentral's name for it is "partial 28S ribosomal RNA". It matches the Rfam family "Eukaryotic large subunit ribosomal RNA", at positions 1 to 82 of the family's 3401-position model. Lineage: Eukaryota; Metazoa; Nematoda; Chromadorea; Rhabditida; Pratylenchidae. The record is from RNAcentral. RNAcentral also lists the same sequence under 1 other name.